This is a non-coding RNA of Gossypium raimondii (Peruvian cotton), 119 nucleotides long. Lineage: Eukaryota; Viridiplantae; Streptophyta; Magnoliopsida; Malvales; Malvaceae. The record is from Rfam.
UGUUAAAAAUUUCAUCCAUUUGUACUAUUAAAAAUUAGCGUGGCUGAUGGAAUAACCAGACGUGUACCUUAUGUAUAGGGACCAGUUUUUAAUAGUAGAAACGGAUGGAAUUUUUAACA